GAACCCGUAGCUCAAUGAAAGAGCGUUCGACUCAAAUACCAAAGGUCGCGGGUUUGAAUCCCAGGUUUG
This is a non-coding RNA of Schistocephalus solidus, 69 nucleotides long. The record is from Rfam. Lineage: Eukaryota; Metazoa; Platyhelminthes; Cestoda; Diphyllobothriidea; Diphyllobothriidae.